UUGGGGCUUCUCGGGGAGUGGAUGUGGCGCACGGGUGCGUAACACGUGGGUAACCAACCCUUCAGCCUGGAAUAACGGUGGGAAACCACCGCUAAUACCGGAUGCGUCGGCCGGGUCUUCGGACCUGGUCGGGAAAGGCCAGCAACGGUCACUGAAGGACGGGCUCGCGGCCCAUCAGCUUGUUGGUGAGGUAACGGCUCACCAAGGCUAAGACGGGUAGCUGGUCUGAGAGGAUAAUCAGCCACACUGGAACUGAGACACGGUCCAGACUCCUACGGGAGGCAGCAGUGGGGAAUAUUGCGCAAUGGACGAAAGUCUGACGCAGCCACGCCGCGUGAGCGAUGAAGGCCCUCGGGUCGUAAAGCUCUGUGGAUGGAGAAGAAGAAAGGCUGUGAAGAGCAGCCCUUGACGGUAUCCAUUUAGCAAGCACCGGCUAACUCCGUGCCAGCAGCCGCGGUAAUACGGAGGGUGCAAACGUUGCUUGGAAUCAUUGGGCGUAAAGCGCGCGUAGGCGGCUUGGUAAGUUGGAUGUGAAAGCCCACGGCUCAACCGUGGAAGUGCAUCCAAAACUACCUGGCUUGAAUUGCGGAGGGGGCCAGAGAAUUCCCGGUGUAGAGGUGAAAUUCGUGGAUAUCGGGAGGAAUACCAG
RNAcentral lists this ribosomal RNA (649 nucleotides) under uncultured bacterium. RNAcentral describes it as "bacterial SSU rRNA". It matches the Rfam family "Bacterial small subunit ribosomal RNA", at positions 74 to 712 of the family's 1533-position model. The record is from RNAcentral.